This 482-nucleotide ribosomal RNA is filed under the name uncultured bacterium. RNAcentral describes it as "partial 16S ribosomal RNA". It matches the Rfam family "Bacterial small subunit ribosomal RNA", at positions 29 to 523 of the family's 1533-position model. The record is from RNAcentral.
AACGAACGCUGGCGGCGUGCUUAACACAUGCAAGUCGAACGAUGAAGCCCAGCUUGCUGGGUGGAUUAGUGGCGAACGGGUGAGUAACACGUGGGCAACCUGCCCCAAACUCUGGGAUAACUCCUCGAAAGAGGUGCUAAUACCGGAUACGAACUAGGUAGACAUCUGCACUAGUUGGAAAGUUUUUCGGUUUGGGAUGGGCCCGCGGCCUAUCAGCUUGUUGGUGAGGUAACGGCUCACCAAGGCUACGACGGGUAACCGGCCUGAGAGGGCGACCGGUCACACUGGGACUGAGACACGGCCCAGACUCCUACGGGAGGCAGCAGUGGGGAAUAUUGCGCAAUGGGCGAAAGCCUGACGCAGCGACGCCGCGUGAGGGAUGAAGGUCUUCGGAUCGUAAACCUCUUUCAGUAGGGACGGUGCGAAAGUGACGGUACCUAAAGAAGAAGCACCGGCUAACUACGUGCCAGCCGCCGCAGUAA